GACGAACGCUGGCGGCGCGCUUAACACAUGCAAGUCGAACGGAAAGGCCUGCUUUCCCUUGUGGAUUGCGGGUACUCGAGUGGCGAACGGGUGAGUAACACGUGAGUGAUCUGCCCCCAACUUGGGUAUAAGCCUGGGAAACUGGGUCUAAUUCCCGAUAGGACUGCAGGGUGGUGCCUGUGGUGGAAAACGAUUUUCUAGUGGUUGGGGAUGAGCUCGCGGCCUAUCAGCUUGUUGGUGGGGUAAUGGCCUACCAAGGCGGGGACGGGUAGCCGGCCUGGGAGGGUGGACGGCGACAGUGGGACAGAGACACGGCCCAGACUCCUAGGGGAGGCAGCAGUGGGGAAUAAUGCAGAAUGGGCGGAAGCCUGAUGCAGCGACGCCGCGUGGGGGAUGACGGGCUUCGGGUUGUAAACUCCUGUCGACCGAGAGGAAGCCACCUGGAUGGAAGGGUGGUGACGGUAGUGGUAGAAGAAGCACCGGCUAACUACGUG
RNAcentral lists this ribosomal RNA (494 nucleotides) under uncultured bacterium. RNAcentral describes it as "partial 16S ribosomal RNA". It matches the Rfam family "Bacterial small subunit ribosomal RNA", at positions 28 to 507 of the family's 1533-position model. The record is from RNAcentral.